RNAcentral lists this transfer RNA (58 nucleotides) under Salmo salar (Atlantic salmon). It matches the Rfam family "tRNA", at positions 8 to 63 of the family's 71-position model. From Rfam's summary of the family: Transfer RNA (tRNA) molecules are approximately 80 nucleotides in length. Their secondary structure includes four short double-helical elements and three loops (D, anti-codon, and T loops). The record is from Rfam by way of RNAcentral. Lineage: Eukaryota; Metazoa; Chordata; Actinopteri; Salmoniformes; Salmonidae.
UGGCUCAGUAAGUAGAGCAUUGUGCUUGCAACGCCAGGGUUGUGGGUUUGAUUCCCAU